Molecule: ribosomal RNA, 518 nt
Filed under: uncultured bacterium
Lineage: Bacteria
Description: bacterial SSU rRNA
Rfam family: Bacterial small subunit ribosomal RNA
Source: RNAcentral
AGAGUUUGAUCCUGGCUCAGAUUGAACGCUGGCGGCAUGCUUUACACAUGCAAGUCGAACGGCAGCACGGGGGCAACCCUGGUGGCGAGUGGCGAACGGGUGAGUAAUACAUCGGAACGUAUCCUUGAGUGGGGGAUAACGCAGCGAAAGUUGUGCUAAUACCGCAUGAGCUCUGAGGAGGAAAGUGGGGGACCGUAAGGCCUCACGCUGAAGGGGCGGCCGAUGUCCGAUUAGCUAGUUGGUGAGGUAAAGGCUCACCAAGGCUUCGAUCGGUAGCUGGUCUGAGAGGAUGAUCAGCCACACUGGGACUGAGACACGGCCCAGACUCCUACGGGAGGCAGCAGUGGGGAAUUUUGGACAAUGGGGGCAACCCUGAUCCAGCCAUGCCGCGUGAGUGAAGAAGGCCUUCGGGUUGUAAAGCUCUUUCGUGAGGGAAGAAACGGCCAUAGUGAAUAGCUGUGGUUACUGACGGUACCUCAAGAAGAAGCACCGGCUAACUACGUGCCUGCCGCCGCGGU